ACUGAGGGCUCAACCUUCAGACUGCAUUUGAAACUGCUGUUCUUGAGUGAAGUAGAGGUAAGCGGAAUUCCUAAUGUAGCGGUGAAAUGCGUAGAUAUUAGGAGGAACAUCGGUGGCGAAGGCGGCUUACUGGGCUUUUACUGACGCUGAGGCUCGAAAGCGUGGGGAGCAAACAGGAUUAGAUACCCUGGUAGUCCACGCUGUAAACGAUGAUUACUAGGUGUGGGGGGACUGACCCCUUCCGUGCCGCAGUUAACACAAUAAGUAAUCCACCUGGGGAGUACGACCGCAAGGUUGAAACUCAAAGGAAUUGACGGGGGCCCGCACAAGCAGUGGAGUAUGUGGUUUAAUUCGAAGCAACGCGAAGAACCUUACCAGGUCUUGACAUCGUAUGCAUAGCCUAGAGAUAGGUGAAAUCCCUUCGGGGACAUAUAGACAGGUGGUGCAUGGUUGUCGUCAGCUCGUGUCGUGAGAUGUUGGGUUAAGUCCCGCAACGAGCGCAACCCUUACCUUUAGUUGCUACGCAAGAGCACUCUAGAGGGACUGCCGUUGACAAAACGGAGGAAGGUGGGGAUGACGUCAAAUCAUCAUGCCCCUUAUGACCUGGGCUACACACGUACUACAAUGGCAAUUAACAGAGGGAAGCAAAACAGCGAUGUGGAGCAAAUCCCGAAAAAUUGUCCCAGUUCAGAUUGCAGGCUGAAACUCGCCUGCAUGAAGUCGGAAUUGCUAGUAAUCGCAGAUCAGAAUGCUGCGGUGAAUACGUUCCCGGGCCUUGUACACACCGCCCGUCACACCAUGGGAGUCGGUAACACCCGAAGCCGAUAGUCUAACCGCAAGGAGGACGUCGUCGAAGGUGGGAUUGAUGACUGGGGUGAAGUCGUAACAAGGUAACCGUAA
This 900-nucleotide ribosomal RNA is filed under the name uncultured bacterium. RNAcentral's name for it is "bacterial SSU rRNA". It matches the Rfam family "Bacterial small subunit ribosomal RNA", at positions 600 to 1505 of the family's 1533-position model. The record is from RNAcentral.